RNAcentral lists this long non-coding RNA (723 nucleotides) under Coturnix japonica (Japanese quail). Its description in RNAcentral is "lncRNA (ENSCJPG00005013287.1)". Lineage: Eukaryota; Metazoa; Chordata; Aves; Galliformes; Phasianidae. The record is from RNAcentral.
AGAGUACUCCAAAUAGGACAGGACAGUUGUGUUUUUAUAAAUGCAAAUGUGGUAUCUGAAUCCAGAAGAUAUAGCACCAAAGACAUAGCUUAUCCUGACUCCAAGGAAACGCCAAGGCAAUUGCUCUUUGCUUCUGGAAGUAGCUCUCAAGGCGUGGUCUUAAGCACUACCAGGGAGUCACCAGGACAGAAUCAAAAGACUUACUGCUUUUUCAAGUUCAAGCUGAGAAGUGAUAUCUACAUCUUCCUUGAAGCACUCAUUAAAUGCUCCAAGACCAAAGGACAAACCAUUCCUUUGAUGGGCUCUUCCUUUACUCAUCUGGUCAGCUUGUUUAGCGGCAGUUGUGUCAAAUCAACAAGGAGUUUUUGGUGGAAGAAAGCUUUCAGUGAUGAAAUCUUCCUGAUUCAUCCCAAUGAUGGAGGAAAGGAAAAUGCUCAGGCAUGAGGAUGGCUCUUUCCAUGGAGAACUGAUCUGAAAAACAGCUCUGGAGGUGGCAGGUAGCAGCACCACCAGUCUGCACUGUACUGGACUUCAAGGCACUCUCUGGCCUUGAAAAAAGAAAGCAUGCAGCUUAUGUACAAGGUGUAAGGAAUGUUGCUUGGAAAAGCUGCUAAUGAUUUGUCUACCAGUAUUAUAUUGAAGUUGUCAGGUCAUCUCAGAGCACAAUGUUACUUCUUCCUAGCACUUGGGAAUAAAAUUCACCACAGGGAAAAGAAUACCUCA